UUUCCGUAGGUGAACCUGCGGAAGGAUCAUUACAGAGUUCAUGCCCUCACGGGUAGAUCUCCCACCCUUGAAUAUUUAUACCUUAGUUGCUUUGGCAGGCCGUGGAAACACCAUGGGCUCCGGCUUAUGCGUGCCUACCAGAGGAAACAAACUCUGUUUUUAGUGAUGUCUGAGUACUAUAUAAUAGUUAAAACUUUCAACAACGGAUCUCUUGGUUCUG
This 220-nucleotide unclassified non-coding RNA is filed under the name plant metagenome. Its description in RNAcentral is "partial contains small subunit ribosomal RNA, internal transcribed spacer 1, and 5.8S ribosomal RNA". The record is from RNAcentral.